GAAGAAAGGGGGGGGCGUGCUUAACACAUGCAAGUCGAACGGUAAGGCCCCUUCGGGGGUACACGAGUGGCGAACGGGUGAGUAACACGUGAGCAACCUGCCCUUGACUCUGGAAUAACAGUUGGAAACAGCUGCUAAUACUGUAUAUUCAUCGUCUCCUUCCUGGGGGGUGGUGGAAAGCUCCGGCGGUCAGGGAUGGGCUCGCGGCCUAUCAGCUUGUUGGUGAGGUAAUGGCUCACCAAGGCUUCGACGGGUAGCCGGCCUGAGAGGGCGACCGGCCACACUGGGACUGAGAUACGGCCCAGACUCCUACGGGAGGCAGCAGUGGGGAAUAUUGCACAAUGGGCGCAAGCCUGAUGCAGCAACGCCGCGUGCGGGAUGACGGCCUUCGGGUUGUAAACCGCUUUCAGUAGGGACGAAGGGUGACUGACGGUACCUACAGAAGAAGGACCGGCUAACUACGUG
RNAcentral lists this ribosomal RNA (465 nucleotides) under uncultured bacterium. RNAcentral describes it as "partial 16S ribosomal RNA". It matches the Rfam family "Bacterial small subunit ribosomal RNA", at positions 38 to 507 of the family's 1533-position model. The record is from RNAcentral.